CGUCUAGGCGGCUUGGCAAGUCGGAGGUGAAAUCCCUCGGCUCAACCGAGGAACUGCCUCCGAAACUGCCGGACUUGAGUCCCGGAGAGGGUAGCGGAAUUCCCAGUGUAGCGGUGAAAUGCGUAGAUAUUGGGAGGAACACCAGUGGCGAAGGCGGCUACCUGGACGGGUACUGACGCUGAAGCGCGAAAGCGUGGGGAGCAAACA
This 207-nucleotide ribosomal RNA is filed under the name uncultured bacterium. RNAcentral's name for it is "partial 16S ribosomal RNA". It matches the Rfam family "Bacterial small subunit ribosomal RNA", at positions 568 to 774 of the family's 1533-position model. The record is from RNAcentral.